AGUGGGGAAUCUUCCACAAUGGGCGCAAGCCUGAUGGAGCAACGCCGCGUGAGUGAAGAAGGUCUUAGGAUUGUAAAGCUCUGUCCUUAGGGAAGAACCGUGGAUGCAGCAAAUGGCAUCCACCUGACGGUACCUUCAGAGGAAGCCACGGCUAACUCUGUGCCAGCAGCCGCGGUAAUACAGAGGUGGCAAGCGUUGUUCGGAUUUACUGGGCGUAAAGGGUGCGUAGGCGGUUUCGUGUGUCAGAUGUGAAAGCCCAUGGCUCAACCAUGGAAUUGCAUUUGAAACUGCGGAACUAGAGUAUCGGAGAGGUAGAUGGAAUUCUUGGUGUAGCGGUGAAAUGCGUAGAUAUCAAGAAGAACACCAGCGGCGAAAGCGAUCUACUGGACGAAUACUGACGCUGAGGCACGAAAGCCAGGGGAGCGAAGAGGAUUAGAUACCCUCGUAGUCCUGGCCAUAAACGCUGAAUGCUAGGUGUGGGUGGGUAGAACCAUCCGUGCCGGAGUUAACGCGAUAAGCAUUCCGCCUGGGGAUUACGACCGCAAGGUUG
This 550-nucleotide ribosomal RNA is filed under the name uncultured bacterium. RNAcentral describes it as "bacterial SSU rRNA". It matches the Rfam family "Bacterial small subunit ribosomal RNA", at positions 353 to 896 of the family's 1533-position model. The record is from RNAcentral.